Molecule: unclassified non-coding RNA, 1231 nt
Filed under: Anthonomus grandis grandis
Lineage: Eukaryota; Metazoa; Arthropoda; Insecta; Coleoptera; Curculionidae
Description: transcription initiation protein SPT3 homolog
Source: RNAcentral
UACAAUAUUCACCGGUUUGUUAUGAAUGUGUUUGAGCUGAAACUUUCAAAGAGCAUUUUCUUAUUAAUUUUGUUAAAGAAAAUAUAAUGACAACUCAAAAGAUUUCCUAUUAUAAUGAAAUCUCCAUGAUGAUGUAUGGAUUUGGAGACAGCCACCAGCCUGACAAGGAUACAGUAAAUUUGGUUGAAAGUAUAGUUUUGAACCAGCUCCAAACUAUUGUCAAGGAAGCACAGAAAUAUGGGGAUGGCAAAAUAGUAAAUGCUCAGGAGUUAGUGUUUUUAUUGAGGCAUAAUAAAUGUAAAAUGCAGAGGUUUGUCCGCUACCUAAACAAUAAAGAAAUCACCAAAGUAGCGUAUGGCAGCACAACAGCAACCCCAAAUUUUACUCCUAAAAUAGACGAAACUCCCUUCAUAGAAAUUGAUCCAGAAGACCGUCCCAAAAACAAACUUAUUGAAUUUAUUGAGUUACUUGAUGAGACUGGUGAGUUUAUGGAUCUCUCAGAAGAGGACGAAGUUAAAAUGGAAAGGAUGGUAAGGGCAGACAGAAUAUCCCAAGAGUUAAAUGAGGAGAAAUAUAUUGAGUUUGCAAAGGCCAGAUGCAGUUCUUUUAAAGUAAAAAGUCGAACAAUGGCAGAAAAUAUGAAGCAAUGGAUAGACCCAAAAAAUGAGACUGUAAUUAAUGCUGAUGCUUUAGACGUUUUAAGUUAUUUUGCACAUGAAACUGUAGCAGAGAUAGUGGAUUGUGCGCUUUUAGUUAGAGAAGAUGCAAAAUCAGGCACUGAUCCAGUAAGACACUUGCCAGGUUCUUAUUAUUCAGCUGUAAUGUUUAAUGGAGCACAUAGAUUUGAGGAAAAGAAGCCAGAUUAUACUAGAGUCCAUAGCGGGCAACUUCCAAUCAGCGUAGCAGAAAUUCAUGAGGUUAUGAGAAGAAUAUACAACAGACAAGCGGGAAAACUCAAUUUUGGAGGAAAAGUUCCAGAAACGCAUUUCUUAUUUGCCCUCUAAUUAUGCCAAGCUUGGAAAAUUUAGAGAAAAUGAUUAAUGCUUUCUUAAGGAAAGCGAAGGUAUAUGGCAAAUUUCAGCAGGAUCAGGUGGACAUAGGUAGGUCAACUCAAAUAGUGAAAAAAUUUGCUACAUUUUUGUAUUUGUUACAAACAUUUUAUACCAUUUUUUAUUUAUUAUUUUGUAAAGUGUAUUAAUAAAUGUAAAAGAAUAAAAAGGAGUUAUUUAUU